Molecule: non-coding RNA, 89 nt
Organism: Mycena albidolilacea
Lineage: Eukaryota; Fungi; Basidiomycota; Agaricomycetes; Agaricales; Mycenaceae
Source: the annotation of a GenBank genome assembly
GGUUGGAUGGCCGAGUGGUCUAAGGCGCUAGAAUCAGGUGUUUCUUUAUCUAGUCCUCCGGGGCGUGGGUUCGAAUCCCACUCCAAUCA